RNAcentral lists this ribosomal RNA (253 nucleotides) under uncultured bacterium. RNAcentral describes it as "partial 16S ribosomal RNA". It matches the Rfam family "Bacterial small subunit ribosomal RNA", at positions 524 to 776 of the family's 1533-position model. The record is from RNAcentral.
UACGAAGGGUGCAAACGUUGCUCGGAAUCAUUGGGCGUAAAGCGCACGUAGGCGGCUUUGCAAGUCGGACGUGAAAUCCCUCAGCUCAACUGAGGACGUGCAUCCGAAACUGCAAGGCUUGAGUACUGAAGAGGAUCGCGGAAUUCCCGGUGUAGAGGUGAAAUUCGUAGAUAUCGGGAGGAACACCAGUGGCGAAGGCGGCGAUCUGGGUCGAUACUGACGCUGAGGUGCGAAAGCGUGGGGAGCAAACAGG